AGACCUUGAAGGGAAUCUUCUAAGGCAGGGAAGAAGCAGAGACUUGUAUCUAUUGAAUCAAAAUACAAGCAGAUUCUAUGUCCAAGGCUGACCAGUUCUCUGGUGGUUACUGCUACUGAUCCAUCCAAACUGCUGGACUUGUCCUUCAUACCCAAGGUCUUCAGGCAGUAUCUAAUGGGAAGUCAACUCUAAAAGGAACCAGACUGUCAUUUCCUGGCCCCUUUAUUCUGUAGCUGCCUCUAUGUGAGGAAAGGAUAGAAAACACUCAAGACAUCAUAUGGGCUUACGAUCUACAGAUUCCAACCAGUAGCAGGGGCUGACUCCUACACAAGAAGACUGGGAACUGCAAACAGGCUGGGGUCACCUCAGUGACAUCUGACGCUGUCCAACCAGAAGUCUGACUUGUGUGUGCGUGUGCUGCAGGAAUUGAAAAAUGUACU
This 440-nucleotide long non-coding RNA is filed under the name Mus caroli (Ryukyu mouse). RNAcentral's name for it is "predicted gene 15892 (MGP_CAROLIEiJ_G0004787.1)". The record is from RNAcentral. Lineage: Eukaryota; Metazoa; Chordata; Mammalia; Rodentia; Muridae.